This 512-nucleotide ribosomal RNA is filed under the name uncultured bacterium. RNAcentral's name for it is "partial 16S ribosomal RNA". It matches the Rfam family "Bacterial small subunit ribosomal RNA", at positions 28 to 507 of the family's 1533-position model. The record is from RNAcentral.
GAUGAACGCUGGCGGCGUGCCUAAUACAUGCAAGUCGAACGAAACUUCUUUAUCACCGAGUGCUUGCACUCACCGAUAAAGAGUUGAGUGGCGAACGGGUGAGUAACACGUGGGCAACCUGCCCAAAAGAGGGGGAUAACACUUGGAAACAGGUGCUAAUACCGCAUAACCAUAGUUACCGCAUGGUAACUAUGUAAAAGGUGGCUAUACUACCGCUUUUGGAUGGGCCCGCGGCGCAUUAGCUAGUUGGUAGGGUAAAGGCUUACCAAGGCAAUGAUGCGUAGCCGAAUUGAGAGGUUGAUCGGCCACAUUGGGACUGAGACACGGCCCAAACUCCUACGGGAGGCAGCAGUAGGGAAUCUUCCACAAUGGGCGAAAGCCUGAUGGAGCAACGCCGCGUGAGUGAAGAAGGUCUUCGGAUCGUAAAACCCUGUUGUUAGAGAAGAAAGUGCGUGAGAGUAACUGUUCACGUUUCGACGGUAUCUAACCAGAAAGCCACGGCUAACUACGUG